Molecule: RNA transcript, 353 nt
Organism: Octodon degus (degu)
Lineage: Eukaryota; Metazoa; Chordata; Mammalia; Rodentia; Octodontidae
Gene name: 60S ribosomal protein L37 pseudogene
Exons: 1
Source: RefSeq, a predicted model, not a curated record
UGGUCUCGGCGGCACAAGCGAGAUGACGAAGGGAACGUCAUCCUUUGGAAAGCGUCGUAAUAAGACGCACACGUUGUGCCGCCGCUGUGGCUCUAAGGCCUACCACCUUCAGAAGUCGACUUGUGGCAAAUGUGGCUAUCCCGCCAAGCGCAAAAGAAAGUAUAACUGGAGUGCAAAGGCUAAAAGGCGAAAUACUACCGGAACCUGUCGAAUGAGGCACCUAAAAAUUGUAUAUCGCAGAUUCAGGCAUGGCUUCCGCGAAGGAACGACACCUAAACCCAAGAGAGCAGCAGUUGCAGCGUCCAGUUCAUCUUGAGAAUUGCAACACUCACUCAAAAUAAAUGCUUUGGUUU